Molecule: long non-coding RNA, 479 nt
Organism: Bradysia coprophila
Lineage: Eukaryota; Metazoa; Arthropoda; Insecta; Diptera; Sciaridae
Source: RefSeq, a predicted model, not a curated record
CAAAUUUGGAGAUAGGAUUUAGGAAAAAAAUUUUGAUUGGAAAUCGAAGAAAGAAUUAACGGAAAGGCCUCAGUAAAAAAAUUUCGGUAGGAAAUUAAAGAUUUUGUCUAUGUUCGCUAAAAUGGACUUCAUUUGUUUGAACAAUAAGUGGCUGAAAUUCAAAAAAGGCCUCGUCGGGACUUCGCCCGACUAAGGCAAAAGGCCCUUCGGGAAUCGCCCGAACGCCCAGUAUGGCCAGUCCAGGCCUGUGAACCAUAUAUAGAUAUGUAUAUUGAUCUCACACGUCUAUGUAUGGAACAAAACUACUUCAUGUUUCGAGGGAAGAUCUAUAAACAACGAUAUGGCACAGCAAUGGGCAAUUCUCUGUCAAGUUUUAUUGCAGAAAUUUUCAUGGCUGACUUCGAGAUGAAAGCUAGCAAAGAUGACAAGUUUCCGAGGAUUUGGAUCAGGUUCAUUGACGAUGUCUUCGUUAUAAUGAA